UUUCGCAAUGCCCGAAAGGGUGACGAAGCGACGCCGCGUGUGGGAAGAAGGCCUUCGGGUUGUAAACCACUGUCGGGAGUUAGGAAAUGUAAGGGUGCUAAUAGUAUCCUUACUUGACUAAGGCUCCGGAGGAAGCCACGGCUAACUCUGUGCCAGCAGCCGCGGUAAUACAGAGGCGGCAAGCGUUGUUCGGAAUUAUUGGGCGUAAAGAGCACGUAGGCGGCCUUGUAAGUCAGUUGUGAAAGCCUUCUGCUUAACGGAAGAACAGCAGCUGAUACUGCAAGGCUAGAGUGCGGAAGGGGAGAGUGGAACUUCUGGUGGAGCGGUGAAAUGCGUAGAUAUCAGAAGGAAUACCGGCGGCGAAGGCGACUCUCUGGUCCGUAACUGACGCUGAGUGUGCGAAAGCUAGGGGAGCAAACGGGAUUAGAUACCCCGGUAGUCCUAGCCGUAAACGAUGGGCACUAAGUAGAGGGGUUUUA
RNAcentral lists this ribosomal RNA (479 nucleotides) under uncultured bacterium. RNAcentral's name for it is "bacterial SSU rRNA". It matches the Rfam family "Bacterial small subunit ribosomal RNA", at positions 364 to 833 of the family's 1533-position model. The record is from RNAcentral.